GUGGCUGUAGCUCAGUCGGUAGAGCCCCGGAUUGUGGAUCCGGUUGUCGUGGGUUCGAGUCCCAUCAGCCACCCCA
This 76-nucleotide transfer RNA is filed under the name Candidatus Dadabacteria bacterium. RNAcentral's name for it is "tRNA-His". It matches the Rfam family "tRNA". Rfam says of the family: Transfer RNA (tRNA) molecules are approximately 80 nucleotides in length. Their secondary structure includes four short double-helical elements and three loops (D, anti-codon, and T loops). Further hydrogen bonds mediate the characteristic L-shaped molecular structure. tRNAs have two regions of fundamental functional importance: the anti-codon, which is responsible for specific mRNA codon recognition, and the 3' end, to which the tRNAs corresponding amino acid is attached (by aminoacyl-tRNA synthetases). tRNAs cope with the degeneracy of the genetic code in two manners: having more than one tRNA (with a specific anti-codon) for a particular amino acid; and 'wobble' base-pairing, i.e. permitting non-standard base-pairing at the 3rd anti-codon position. Lineage: Bacteria; Pseudomonadati; Thermodesulfobacteriota; Candidatus Dadabacteria. The record is from RNAcentral.